This 483-nucleotide long non-coding RNA is filed under the name Pongo abelii (Sumatran orangutan). Its description in RNAcentral is "lincRNA". Lineage: Eukaryota; Metazoa; Chordata; Mammalia; Primates; Hominidae. The record is from RNAcentral.
AGAGGAAGUGUGAAAGGUAUCUGAGAUACCAGCUUAGAAAACAACUCUUUAGCUCCUCCUGGUGAUUAGGAUACCACUAAACAAUAGGAUGAAGGAUCUGUCCCCAGAGCCCAAGUGACGAUGUAUCUAAUAUUAUAUCCUAGAACAUUCACAGAGUGGCUGCAGAAUGUCUUGAGCUGGAACAUCCCCAAGAGGCCAUAUAUAUAUCCCAGGGAUUUUACAGUGGACCUCACUAGGCCGGAGUAACCGUAAAGUCAGAUGGAUAAUGAGAAUCAGGACGUUAGCCACACGUGGACUGUGGCAAAAAGAAAGUGACCCAUUGAAGAAGACUGUUUUUCAGCUCUCAUCAAUUGCUGUUUCCAGGAGCCCACAGCUCCAAUUACUCAAAAGAACGUUGACUUUUUUUUUUUUUUUUUUUUUUUUGGUAAACUAUCCUGAUUUUCAGGUUAGGCAAGCAAUUCAUUAAAAAAUAAAAGACUGCAC